Molecule: unclassified non-coding RNA, 259 nt
Filed under: Hevea brasiliensis (rubber tree)
Lineage: Eukaryota; Viridiplantae; Streptophyta; Magnoliopsida; Malpighiales; Euphorbiaceae
Source: RNAcentral
CUCUACCAUUACUGCGGUUGAAUCAUACAGUGACGCACGUCUCCCUUAUGGCAAUUGCAAAGAGCAUUGACAACCCCGAAGGCCUAACAAAUAGCCAUCCACCAGAGUAAGAGCAAGCAUUCCGAGUGUGUGUCUUCUCGGUCCUUCUCCGUUCCCAGUGACUUCUAGAAACUAUGGCCAUGAUCACUAGGAACACUACCUCACGCCUUCCUAUCCUCUUCUCCCAGCAUCGCGGAGCUGCCCUCUCUCUCCAUACCAC